GAUUGAGGCUGAAACCCGCCUCCAUGAAGUUGGAUUCGCUAGUAAUCGCGCAUCAGCCAUGGCGCGGUGAAUACGUUCCCGGGCCUUGUACACACCGCCCGCCAAGCCAUGGGAGCCGGGGGUGCCUGAAGUUCGUGACCGCAAGGAGCGACCUAGGGCAAAACUGGUGACUGGGGCUAAGUCGUAACAAGGUAUC
Molecule: ribosomal RNA, 196 nt
Filed under: uncultured bacterium
Lineage: Bacteria
Description: partial 16S ribosomal RNA
Rfam family: Bacterial small subunit ribosomal RNA
Source: RNAcentral